This 462-nucleotide ribosomal RNA is filed under the name uncultured bacterium. RNAcentral describes it as "bacterial SSU rRNA". It matches the Rfam family "Bacterial small subunit ribosomal RNA", at positions 29 to 507 of the family's 1533-position model. The record is from RNAcentral.
AUUGAACGCUGGCGGCAUGCUUUACACAUGCAAGUCGAACGGCAGCGCGGGGGCAACCCUGGCGGCGAGUGGCGAACGGGUGAGUAAUGUAUCGGAACGUAUCCUGUAAUGGGGGAUAACCAGUCGAAAGAUUGGGUAAUACCGCAUACGCACGAGAGUGGAAAGUAGGGGAUCGCAAGACCUUACGUUAUAGGAGCGGCCGAUAUCUGAUUAGCUAGUUGGUGGGGUAAAGGCCUACCAAGGCGACGAUCAGUAGCUGGUCUGAGAGGACGACCAGCCACACUGGGACUGAGACACGGCCCAGACUCCUACGGGAGGCAGCAGUGGGGAAUCUUGGGCAAUGGGCGAAAGCCUGACCCAGCGACGCCGCGUGAGGGAAGAAGGCCUUCGGGUCGUAAACCUCUGUCAUGGGGGAAGAAGCAAGUGACGGUACCCCAAGAGGAAGCCCCUGCUAACUACGUG